Molecule: ribosomal RNA, 254 nt
Filed under: uncultured bacterium
Lineage: Bacteria
Description: partial 16S ribosomal RNA
Rfam family: Bacterial small subunit ribosomal RNA
Source: RNAcentral
UACGUAGGGUGCAAGCGUUAAUCGGAAUUACUGGGCGUAAAGCGUGCGCAGGCGGUUUUGUAAGACUGUCGUGAAAGCCCCGAGCGUCAACUUGGGAAUGGCAUUGAAAACUGGCGGGCUGGAGUGUGGCAGAGGGGGGUGGAAUUCCUGGUGUAGCAGUGAAAUGCGUAGAUAUCGGGAGGAAUACCAGAGGCGAAGGCGGCUACCUGGACAAUUGCUGACGCUCAGGCACGAAAGCGUGGGGAGCAAACGGG